UUGACAUCCAGAGAUUAGCAGAGAUGCUUUAGUGCCUUCGGGAACUCUGAGACAGGUGCUGCAUGGCUGUCGUCAGCUCGUGUUGUGAAAUGUUGGGUUAAGUCCGCAACGAGCGCAACCCUUACCCUUUGUUGCCAGCACGUAAUGGUGGGAACUCAAAGGAGACUGCCGGUGAUAAACCGGAGGAAGGUGGGGAUGACGUCAAGUCAUCAUGGCCCUUACGAGUAGGGCUACACACGUGCUACAAUGGCGCAUACAAAGAGAAGCGACCUCGCGAGAGCAAGCGGACCUCAUAAAGUGCGUCGUAGUCCGGAUUGGAGUCUGCAACUCGACUCCAUGAAGUCGGAAUCGCUAGUAAUCGUAAAUCAGAAUGUUACGGUGAAUACGUUCCCGGGCCUUGUACACACCGCCCGUCACACCAUGGGAGUGGGUUGCAAAAGAAGUAGAUAGCUUAACCUUCGGGAGGGCGUUUACCACUUUGUGAUUCAUGACUGGGGUGAAGUCGUAACAAGGUAAGCGUAGUGCU
RNAcentral lists this ribosomal RNA (526 nucleotides) under uncultured bacterium. RNAcentral describes it as "bacterial SSU rRNA". It matches the Rfam family "Bacterial small subunit ribosomal RNA", at positions 981 to 1509 of the family's 1533-position model. The record is from RNAcentral.